This is a long non-coding RNA of Dipodomys spectabilis (banner-tailed kangaroo rat), 203 nucleotides long. RefSeq lists it as uncharacterized. The record is from RefSeq and is a predicted model, not a curated record. The transcript has 3 exons. NCBI's taxonomy places the organism in Eukaryota, Metazoa, Chordata, Mammalia, Rodentia, Heteromyidae.
GGCAGGGAGGUCACCCCAGGUCCCGGAUCGGCGGGCCCUGCGGCCCAGAAUGCGGGCGAGCUUCCAAAGCCGGCUGCGGUCUCCGUCCUCCAGCCCGUGAACGCCUCGGCCGCCGUGGUCGCCCGGCUGCGCCGUGCCCGCCACCACGCAAGGGCGCCGCGUCCUCGGCAGCCGGGCGAGGCCUUGCUGAGGGCUUGGCCAGG